AUUGAACGCUGGCGGCAGGCCUAACACAUGCAAGUCGAGCGGAUGAGUGGAGCUUGCUCCAUGAUUCAGCGGCGGACGGGUGAGUAAUGCCUAGGAAUCUGCCUGGUAGUGGGGGACAACGUUUCGAAAGGAACGCUAAUACCGCAUACGUCCUACGGGAGAAAGUGGGGGAUCUUCGGACCUCACGCUAUCAGAUGAGCCUAGGUCGGAUUAGCUAGUUGGUGAGGUAAAGGCUCACCAAGGCGACGAUCCGUAACUGGUCUGAGAGGAUGAUCGGUCACACUGGAACUGAGACACGGUCCAGACUCCUACGGGAGGCAGCAGUGGGGAAUAUUGGACAAUGGGCGAAAGCCUGAUCCAGCCAUGCCGCGUGUGUGAAGAAGGUCUUCGGAUUGUAAAGCACUUUAAGUUGGGAGGAAGGGCAGUAAGUUAAUACCUUGCUGUUUUGACGUUACCAACAGAAUAAGCACCGGCUAACUUCGUG
Molecule: ribosomal RNA, 484 nt
Filed under: uncultured bacterium
Lineage: Bacteria
Description: partial 16S ribosomal RNA
Rfam family: Bacterial small subunit ribosomal RNA
Source: RNAcentral